Centruroides sculpturatus (bark scorpion) is the source of this 561-nucleotide long non-coding RNA. RefSeq lists it as uncharacterized. Lineage: Eukaryota; Metazoa; Arthropoda; Arachnida; Scorpiones; Buthidae. The record is from RefSeq and is a predicted model, not a curated record. The transcript has 3 exons.
UAAAUUCUUGCAUUUUAACAACUAGAGAACGUUCAGAAUGCCUUUCAAAGAGAUAUUCGCUGUCGCCUGUCUAAUAAUACUAAUAACUGGAUACGGUUUAAAAUCUUUAAUUAUUCGUAGUGAACCUGCAUGCGGAAGAAUAUUUGAAAGAGGCAGAGUGGGGUUUUGGGGUUGCCUGAAACUUAAAGUCAAAAACUACUUCGAGGGAACAUUUUGUGCUGAUGACAAUGAUUCGUAACUGUCUUACUUGAUAAUCUAUGAUUUCAACAAGCAAAACUGUAAUUUAAUAAAUGAAUUUAUGCAAGAUUACUUCCCCGAUGAACAAGAAAAGACAAUGGAAGAAAGAAUCAAAGAAAAGAGACAAGGCAAUGUUAUCAUGAAGUUAUGGGAAAAGUAAAUGAAAUAUGCUUCUCAUUACACGAUUUUCAUAAUGCAAAUGCUAUUACAUCUUCAAAAAUUUGAGUUUCGGAAUAAAAUCACAUACCAAUUAAUUGUCUGAAUAAAUUCCAAUAAAUAAAAUAGAUGUGAUUAUUUAUUUGAAUUGUGUUUAUCACAUCCAGU